Non-coding RNA from Paramuricea clavata, 3439 nucleotides. The record is from the annotation of a GenBank genome assembly. Lineage: Eukaryota; Metazoa; Cnidaria; Anthozoa; Malacalcyonacea; Plexauridae.
GUUAUAUACACAUUUAGUUGUUUUCAAAAUGUUUUUUAUAUUUAUAGAUUUACAAUGUUUUAACACUGAGACCGUGCAUGAGUCCCGAAGCGAGUGAACUGGCAAGGAUAUUUCAAAAACCUCACUUCCAAGUAAGUGUUAUUUAUAGCUUUACAGUUCUGUGUUUCAGCAAGAUGCGCUUUCUUUGUUAUAAUAGAGACUUUACGAUAUGGGACGGCAACGCAACGACAACGGCCAGAAUAUAAUCAUUCAAAAAAACGAUUGUAAAGAAAGUUUGUAGACCAUUAUUGAUCGUAUCAAUUUGAUACUGUUAGCUUUUGUUGAGAAAGUUCCAGGAGCUAUAAUUUGCCGAGUAUAGCACUUCUCGCGUCUUGAUUGAAAUGCAGGCGUUUUAUCCAAGACGUAAAAGUCUGUAUUUUCCUGUUGUAGACAAACGGUGCAUGGAUGACGUCUCAAACUCUCGUUGGAUGUUAUAAUUAUUCAUUUGUUUUCUUAAAUAUUCAAUUGUUUUUCUUAAAUUUCGAAACCGUCCACGGUCGAACACAUCAUUGAUGGUCGAACACAUCCGCAUUAAUUUCGUUCCCAAAUCGCGUUUGCGGUAAUUAGCACGUGGACCUAUUUGGUGACAUCUUACACCAAGUCGAUGUCUGUAAGGAUUUCGCGCAGUACGAUAAUAUAAGGUUUCAGAUUUUUGAAAACAUUGCGGGUAUAGCAGUCGAAACGCAAAGCAGUCAAUUUGGUUUGCUGGUUAUUUUGCCUUCUACAGUAUACAAAACAGUUCAGAAAUGUUAUAUGACAGAUAAUUUACGUUAAGUGUACUGUAGUUGUGUUUAAAGGACCAACAAACUGGCUUAUAUUUUAUUAGAUAAGAAUAAGAUAUUUCAAAGUUAAAAUGAUACAUUUUAAAAGAUAUUUACAUGGAACAAUUUAAUUUGUGUAAGGCACAGAUUUAGAUCGAGGACACGGACGUCAAAGACGACGUGAAAAUGCCGUGUUGCGCCCAUGUACUGUAUGGAUAUGCCACGUCAUUUUGACGCCAUUCUCACGUCUUUGACGUCCUCGAUCUAAAUCUGUCUAAUAACCAUGCAGGAAACCUGAAAAAUCUGAGACCUUAUAUUAUCAUACUGCGCGAAAUCCUUAAUUCCAUUGACUUGAGCAAAUGGUUCCACGCGCUAAUUACCGCAACUGCCAUCUGGGAACGAAAUUGAUGAUGUGUUCGACCACAAAGGGUCCCACUAUGAGUUAUGAUUGAAAUAAUAUUGUAUUUAUUUUUAAAAACCCACUUGAAUACCUUGAUAAUCGAUUAUUUCUUCUCGAAGUUCUGUAAACAUUUUAAACUGCUUGUCAUUAUACUAUCACUCUACAUGACGUUUCACGAAGUAUAGAUGAUCGCUGACAAGUAAGGACGCGGGCGCGAAAAGACGCGUCGAAAGAAGGGAGAAUUAAACUAAAGGGUUGAAACAUCGACUAGAUGACACGAAGUACAACGAACAACUGCAAUACAUAUACUAUAAAUAUUUACCGCGUUCAUGCACUUUGGUCUUUGUCUUUGUACUAACUUUAGAACAAAAACUGGUGUUUGUAUUCGUUUGUGUGCGAGUGGUAGUUCAACACAGAAAGUUUCAGCCUCAUUUUGCAUAACAUGCAUAAUUAAUAAGUCUUGACUUUUUAAUAUACGCUUUGUUUUUAUAGAAUAAACUGAAAUAGGCGACUAACAGUCGGUAAUUUUUUUCUACAGCCAAUCACUUGUCACAAAACAGCCGUAAACAACUUGAUUAUAAAUUAUAACAAAAUCUUUGUGUUGCUUGUAAACUUGAGUGAAGUAUUUAACAUUUAAAUGCAGCCAGUAAAAUGCAAAAAUCGCUGCAAAUUGCAGUGUUGUCGCACCAAAGUUGCAGUCAGAAUCGCAGGGUGUUUACAUUGGAGAUUUCAAAAAAUCGCCAUAGAAAUCGCAGUGAAAAUUGCAAGUGUAAACAGGGCUUAAGGUCUCUAUUACUCUGGCUAAUGCUAUGUUCUUUGUUAGUGUAAAGUUUUUAUCGAAACUUUGCAAUAGUGUGGUUUGUGGCAAGAAUUAAACGAAUUCAUAAAAUUAACACUCCAGUGGAGGAUGGGAUAAAGUUCCAAGCCUCUAUUUUCUUAUCCACUUUAGUAGGAAUAACAUGACGUAGUGCGCGGACGAACGCGUGAAAUGGACGCCAGAAUGAUACAAUUUCUAAUGAAUUGACUUGCUCAAAACUCACUGAGCAGAUAAAUGCUCAACAUAAAUUAUUAUGAAAUUACGAAUGAAUUACUUCUAACCAGAAUAAAAAUAAGCAAUACUGAACAAAAAAAUAUAUGUAGCUAAAUAGAUCCUGAAACUUAAAGAUGUGUUAUAAUUGAAAAGAGGCAACUCUUAAUUAAAUCGAACUCUUAAUUAACUCGAAUUAAAUCGACCGUCAAUUUUAUAUCGUGUUUAAUGUGCAGCCUCGUACCCAGGCUCCGACUCAGACCGUGGCCGUGUUUGAAUAAAUCCAUUAUUAUGUCUAUAUUAUAGCAUAUAUAGAAAUUAAUUCAUCUACAUGCAAUCAAAUUAUGAUAAACUAACAUACUGCAUAAACUGAGAAAUGAUUUUGUCAUUGAUGAAUUGCCUUAAAUACUGUAUCUUGAGUCACAGUAUAUUGCUGACACGCAAUUGUAAAAAAAACACAAACAACCCCAGGUAACGUAACUUUCGUGGAAGUAAAUGAAGUGAACUAAAAUCAAGUAGAUCAUAGACGUUUUUAGAUGAAGUAAAGGUUCCACUAUGUCAUUCGCAUUAUAUAGUAAUUGAAGAAACAGAGAUUUGGAGCAAGUCGAGGGGAGGAUGGGGCAUCGUAGCUCAGUUGCAUUGGACUAACAGUUAUUAGUAACUAACAUCGUAGCUCAGUUGCAUUGGACCAACACAAACACAAACACAAACACAAACACAAACACAAACACAAACACAAACACAAACACAAACACAAACACAAACAAGAAGUAUAAUAAGAAUUAGUUCGCAUAAUAAUUAAUAAUCGGAGGCAUAUAGUAAUUAGAGGCACUUUUAAUUUGCACCUAUGGUGGCAAGUUUAUACUGUUUUUUUUUAUUUCAAAUACAAGACAGACCAUACCGCUUAUAUAAGUACUGUAUGUACAUCUACCUAUGUAAUAUGAACACUUGAAUCAUUUUCUUGGUUUUCUACAACAAAAUGAAGUGACUCGCACUUUAGAAAUAUGUAUAUUUAGAUAUAUUUAUAUAUUAAUAUAUAUUUGUCUGAUUUUGCAGGCUCUUAUUACAGCCCAUGACCAAGUUACAAACAGACUAUUUGAAAAGUAUGUUGAAACUGACAUGGAAGAGGACAUGGAUGUGAGUUUCGGUUCUGUUCGAAUUGUCCGCUUGGUCAAAGAAGAACAAGAACCACUGGUAGGUUAACAGUAUCAG